Molecule: ribosomal RNA, 471 nt
Filed under: Lodderomyces parapsilosis
Lineage: Eukaryota; Fungi; Ascomycota; Pichiomycetes; Serinales; Debaryomycetaceae
Description: eukaryotic LSU rRNA
Rfam family: 5.8S ribosomal RNA (bases 133-286)
Source: RNAcentral
UACUGCAUUUUUUCUUACACAUGUGUUUUUCUUUUUUUGAAAACUUUGCUUUGGUAGGCUUCUAUAUGGGGCCUGCCAGAGAUUAAACUCAACCAAAUUUUAUUUAAUGUCAACCGAUUAUUUAAUAGUCAAAACUUUCAACAACGGAUCUCUUGGUUCUCGCAUCGAUGAAGAACGCAGCGAAAUGCGAUAAGUAAUAUGAAUUGCAGAUAUUCGUGAAUCAUCGAAUCUUUGAACGCACAUUGCGCCCUUUGGUAUUCCAAAGGGCAUGCCUGUUUGAGCGUCAUUUCUCCCUCAAACCCUCGGGUUUGGUGUUGAGCGAUACGCUGGGUUUGCUUGAAAGAAAGGCGGAGUAUAAACUAAUGGAUAGGUUUUUUCCACUCAUUGGUACAAACUCCAAAACUUCUUCCAAAUUCGACCUCAAAUCAGGUAGGACUACCCGCUGAACUUAAGCAUAUCAAUAAGCGGAGG